This 656-nucleotide long non-coding RNA is filed under the name Pan troglodytes (chimpanzee). Its description in RNAcentral is "long non-coding RNA NONPTRT011029". The record is from RNAcentral. Lineage: Eukaryota; Metazoa; Chordata; Mammalia; Primates; Hominidae.
AGAAGUCAGGCUCACUUGCUUUAGAAACCAAUUCUGUCAGAGAUGGUGUGAACCCAAGAACUAGGAAGACGGUUUUGUCUUUUUCUUGUAGCUGACAGACUCAUCCCUUCCUGCUCCUCCUCCUCCUUCGUCUUUCUCUCUUCUACUGUAUGAAAGGCACCAGGGAGGCACUCAGGUGGUGUUCCUGGGGGACCCAGUGGUGGAUCAGUCCCAGAUCCAUGUUUGGGGCUCAGAAGGCCAGGAGGAGAACCAGGUAGACCAGACUGGGUUGCAGCCAGCUUGGAAAAUUUGCCUCACCUUCCUUCCACCAUGACAUGGGCAUAUGAUUGUGCCUUCUCAGCCAGAGUUUCAAGGGACCCUGCUGGAGAUCACAGAGUCAAGGGCAGCUGUGACACCUGGCCCGACGCCUUUGCAGCUGCCAUCUCUGCGUCUUCUCAAAGAUCAUUUACUCUGAGGAAAGCCAAGAGCCAUGUUGUGUGAACACCAAGGAAGCUUGUGAAGAAGCCCUUGUGGAAAGAAAUAGAGCUGUUGGCUGACAACCAACCGGGAGCUGAGGCUGCCAACAACCCUGUGAGUGAGAGUAAAAGUGGAUUCUCCAGCCCAGUCAAGCCUUGAGAUGACUAUAGCCCUGCCUGGCAACUUGACUGCAACCUUGG